RNAcentral lists this long non-coding RNA (539 nucleotides) under Musa acuminata (dwarf banana). RNAcentral describes it as "long non-coding RNA (MACU_LNC003164)". Lineage: Eukaryota; Viridiplantae; Streptophyta; Magnoliopsida; Zingiberales; Musaceae. The record is from RNAcentral.
CCCAUCUUUAUAUCCAGAGAUUGUGCAGCUUGUUUAGGUAUCGAGACAUGAUUUCCAUUAUGCUUUUAUGAACCAUUAUAUACUGAUCAUCAUGCCACUGUUUCUCUUUCCUCCUCCUGUAGCUGUAGAUCUACUGCCAUGCUGCUGCUAUCACUGACUGCAUGUAUGAUUUGAUCAAAGGUUUAUGUUGGGAAUGGCAAGUCUGUCAUCAUGGAUGAUCAGUGAAUGAAGUGACCUUGAAGCAAGAACAAUGGCAAGCCAGAAGGGAAUCGUGAGGAUCACACAACUGUUCUUGAGUGGGAUAGAAUGAUCAAACAGUAAGUAAAGCUCUUUAGAUAAGUCUGUUGAUUGUUCUUUCCAAUGGUGGCUUACCUACCCAAGCACUACAGAAGAGAAUGUCCCUUGCAAGGAAUCUCCUCUGAGAAGAAAAGCUCCAUGAGUGCCUCUCUCCUUUUUCCUCUCCCCCUUUGGCAUCCCACCCAGCUGUGCUGUUGAAUCAUUAAGCUGCCUGUUAGAGUUAGGCCAUAUGUGUUUCCCCC